GACGAACGCUGGCGGCGUGCUUAACACAUGCAAGUCGAACGGAAAGGCCCUGCUUUUGUGGGGUGCUCGAAUGGCGAACGGGUGAGUAACAUGUUAGUAACCUGCCCUUGACUUUGGUAUAACUUCAGGUAACUGAGGCUAAUACCGGAUAGGAGCUCCUGCUGCAUGGUGGGGGUUGGAAAGUUUCGGCGGUUGGGGAUGGACUCGUGGCUGCUCAGCUUGUUGGUGGGGUAGUGGCUUACCAAGGCUUUGACGGGUAGCCGGCCGGAGAGGGUGACCGGCCACAUUGGAACUGAGAGACGGCCCAGACUGCUACGGGAGGCAGCAGUGGGGAAUAGUGCACAAUGGGCAGAAGCCUGAUGCAGCAACGCCGCGUGCGGGAUGACGGCCUACGGGUUGUAAACCACUGUCGCCGGGGACGAGGUGUGAGUGACGGUAAUGAGUAAAGAAGCACCGGCUAACUACGUG
RNAcentral lists this ribosomal RNA (468 nucleotides) under uncultured bacterium. RNAcentral's name for it is "partial 16S ribosomal RNA". It matches the Rfam family "Bacterial small subunit ribosomal RNA", at positions 28 to 507 of the family's 1533-position model. The record is from RNAcentral.